GAUGAACGCUGGCGGCGUGCCUAAUACAUGCAAGUCGAGCGAACAGAUAAGGAGCUUGCUCCUUUGACGUUAGCGGCGGACGGGUGAGUAACACGUGGAUAACCUACCUAUAAGACUGGGAUAACUUCGGGAAACCGGAGCUAAUACCGGAUAACAUAUUGAACCGCAUGGUUCAAUAGUGAAAGGCGGCUUUGCUGUCACUUAUAGAUGGAUCCGCGCCGUAUUAGCUAGUUGGUAAGGUAACGGCUUACCAAGGCAACGAUACGUAGCCGACCUGAGAGGGUGAUCGGCCACACUGGAACUGAGACACGGUCCAGACUCCUACGGGAGGCAGCAGUAGGGAAUCUUCCGCAAUGGGCGAAAGCCUGACGGAGCAACGCCGCGUGAGUGACGAAGGUCUUCGGAUCGUAAAACUCUGUUAUCAGGGAAGAACAAAUGUGUAAGUAACUGUGCACAUCUUGACGGUACCUGAUCAGAAAGCCACGGCUAACUACGUG
This 497-nucleotide ribosomal RNA is filed under the name uncultured bacterium. Its description in RNAcentral is "partial 16S ribosomal RNA". It matches the Rfam family "Bacterial small subunit ribosomal RNA", at positions 28 to 507 of the family's 1533-position model. The record is from RNAcentral.